Non-coding RNA from Lolium perenne, 2166 nucleotides. The record is from RefSeq and is a predicted model, not a curated record. Lineage: Eukaryota; Viridiplantae; Streptophyta; Magnoliopsida; Poales; Poaceae.
CUGGGCCGUACCAAUAUGGGCCGCCCUCCACCGCACGAGCAUCACCGCCCACAUCUUUGGGAACGCCUCCUGCCUCCUCCGCGACGCGCCGCCUGCAUCCUCUGCGACGCGCCGCCGUCGACGCCCCGGAGCGCGUCGUCCUCGAGUAAAACAGCGAGACAGCACUGCGAGGGAAGAGAAGCACGCGAGCCUUCUUCCGUUCCAAAGCUUCUACCAGAGCAACAGACGAGUGAGGAAGCGAGGUAGAAGGUUCUGCGGCGGAGAGAGAUGGCCGGGAAGGGAGGCAAGGGUCUGCUCGCGGCAAAGACGACGGCGGCCAAGGGAUCCGCCGACAAGGACAAGGACAAGAAGAAGGCGCCCGUGUCCCGCUCCUCUCGCGCCGGGAUCCAGGGUGCUGUCGAUGAAGGAAAAUAACCGAACAGAGCCUUCUCAAAAUAGGUUCAUAUAUAGAUGUGCGAUUUUUAAGCUUUCUGGUCGUCUUUGGCAGAUAAUGGCCCAGGUUUUCAUCCAUAACAAGGACUAAAAUAAGUAAAUGUUGACGCUGGUUAUUCGGAGCAGCAACAUGAUUAGCCUGGGGCAGCACCAUCAUUGGAAAACCACUAAUGUCCUCAUGGUUACUCCAUUCAGUGGUUUGACCCUUCCAGGUAUAUCUUAUUGAUUUAUUAGCAGUGCAUUAUAUGCUUCUGGCCAACUCAUUUCGCUCUUCAUUUUCUCUAGAAGCAUGAACAUGUCACUCCGCAUUCAGUAUAUUUUUGGCCACUGCGUUUUAAAUAAUUGGAAUUUUACAUGCUUAUAAUACAAGAGAUAGAUCUACGUAAAUACUGUGUUUGCAUUAUGUUUUGCCAAAGACCUUCGAAUGUGAAUGUGUGCAUUAUGUUUCCUAACUUAUAUGGGAGGCAUGAACGGGAUCCGGGGAUGAUGCCUUGUUCACUGGUUGUUGGCAUGUAGUAGCUCUCUUUCCUGGUUUAAUCAUAUUGCAAUUUCCAUGUGGUGAAGCCCAAACUGAAUACCGCUCCAUACAUGAAGAAGGGCCUCAUGAUGAGCUUUAGGAAGAUGGAGCAAUAACACAUGCUGAGUUGGAAAAAUAAGGGUAAUAAUGCAGUCCAUUUGAAGUUGUAAAAAGAUCAUCCAUAGUUGAAAAACAUGACAGAGAACAAAGGAGUCUAAUUUUGUGAACGAGGGAAAUCAAAAUGGCAGGAUAUUUAUCUUCUCAUAGCUCUAGAUAUAUUGAAACUUGGGGAGGGAGAACACACAUUCUCUCACUUUACAAUGCAAGCCUUUUACAUAUAGAAAAUGCCAGAAAGAACUUCUCAACGCAAAGCAAUCCUGGGGAAGGACAAUUUUUUUAAAUCUUGGUUAACGUGUCUCUAAUCUGGCUGAUAACAUUUCACGACAAAAGGGGUUAUAAGUAUAACAAUUUUUUCUAAAGCAUGCAGUCAGCAGGUAAAUAUUGUGCCGUUACAGAAACAUUGCCGAGCAAAUCUAGAUUUUUUUGAAGUGCUGCCAAAUGGCCUCCCUUGAAUAGCAAGACCAGGAUUUAUCUUUUUGGUGAAAUCAAUGUCAGGUAAGAGUUUUAUUUUACUAUAUUUCAGUGUUCAAUGUGCUCAGGCUUUAUAACAUGCUGCAUUAUUGUGUUCCGAGUUGACAAAUUUUAGUGUUUGGUGUUUUACAGAGAUUUGAGGAUUUGAGAAAUAAACCAUAUAUGGUUUUGUGCUUGCGGUGAUUUUGGCACUUGGAGUCACUUUGCAUGGCUGGAAUAGAAUCAGAUCUCAUAGUAUAACCAGACGAGUGUGCAUCACAUAUUAGAUAUAACCGCUGAAUAUUAAAUACCGCAGUGUGCAUCAGAUUCAAGGUGGUUUGCUUGGAACAUGGGUUUUAGGAUGAUCGUGAGCAACCUAGAAGCUGAAGAAGCCUUCAGUGGUAUCUCGUGAUAUAUUUCCGACCCUUCUAGCCGAGAUUAAGCGGUUUGUGCCAUCCCCCAAGCUGCACACAUUAUAGUGGACUUACAGUUGCUUCAAGGUAAAGUCUUGUUUGGGACGAGAUGAAUGCGGAGAAAUGGUUCGUGAGCGCUGCACUGCUGCACUAAUGUGAAGUGAGAUGAUGUACUAGGCAUGUUUUUUUUUUAUUUGGUUGGAAUUUCGCAGCUCUUAUUACAUCACAGUUUGU